RNAcentral lists this ribosomal RNA (467 nucleotides) under uncultured euryarchaeote. RNAcentral describes it as "bacterial SSU rRNA". It matches the Rfam family "Archaeal small subunit ribosomal RNA", at positions 83 to 547 of the family's 1478-position model. The record is from RNAcentral. Lineage: Archaea; Methanobacteriati; Methanobacteriota.
UUACGGCUCAGUAACACGUGGCCAAGCUACCCUGUGGACGGGAAUACUCUCGGGAAACUGAGACUAAUCCCCGAUAACGCUUUGCUCCUGGAAGGGGCAAAGCCGGAAACGCUCCGGCGCCACAGGAUGCGGCUGCGGUCGAUUAGGUAGACGGUGGGGUAACGGCCCACCGUGCCCAUAAUCGGUACGGGUUGUGAGAGCAAGAGCCCGGAGACGGAAUCUGAGACAAGAUUCCGGGCCCUACGGGGCGCAGCAGGCGCGAAACCUUUACACUGUACGAAAGUGCGAUAAGGGGACUCCGAGUGUGAAGGCAUAGAGCCUUCACUUUUGUACACCGUAAGGCGGUGCACGAAUAAGGACUGCAGGCAAGACCGGUGCCAGCCGCCGCGGUAAUACCGGCAGUCCGAGUGAUGGGCGAUCUUAUUGGGCCUAAAGCGUCCGUAGCUGGGUGAACAAGUCCGUUGAGA